UACGGAGGGUGCAAGCGUUAUCCGGAUUCACUGGGUUUAAAGGGUGCGUAGGUGGGUCUGUAAGUCCGUGGUGAAAUCUCCGAGCUUAACUUGGAAACUGCCAUGGAUACUAUAGAUCUUGAAUAUUGUGGAGGUCAGCGGAAUAUGUCAUGUAGCGGUGAAAUGCUUAGAUAUGACAUAGAACACCAAUUGCGAAGGCAGCUGGCUACGCAUAUAUUGACACUGAGGCACGAAAGCGUGGGGAUCAAACAGG
This 253-nucleotide ribosomal RNA is filed under the name uncultured bacterium. RNAcentral's name for it is "partial 16S ribosomal RNA". It matches the Rfam family "Bacterial small subunit ribosomal RNA", at positions 524 to 776 of the family's 1533-position model. The record is from RNAcentral.